AACGAACGCUGGCGGCAUGCCUAACACAUGCAAGUCGAACGAGACCUUCGGGUUUAGUGGCGCACGGGUGCGUAACGCGUGGGAACCUGCCCUUAGGUUCGGAAUAACUCCCCGAAAGGGAUGCUAAUACCGGAUAAUGUCUUCGGACCAAAGAUCUAUCGCCUUUGGAUGGGCCCGCGUUGGAUUAGCUAGUUGGUAGGGUAAAAGCCUACCAAGGCGACGAUCCAUAGCUGGUCUGAGAGGAUGAUCAGCCACACUGGGACUGAGACACGGCCCAGACUCCUACGGGAGGCAGCAGUGGGGAAUAUUGGACAAUGGGCGAAAGCCUGAUCCAGCAAUGCCGCGUGAGUGAUGAAGGCCUUAGGGUUGUAAAGCUCUUUUACCCGGGAUGAUAAUGACAGUACCGGGAGAAUAAGCACCGGCUAACUCCGUG
Molecule: ribosomal RNA, 433 nt
Filed under: uncultured bacterium
Lineage: Bacteria
Description: partial 16S ribosomal RNA
Rfam family: Bacterial small subunit ribosomal RNA
Source: RNAcentral